GACGAACGCUGGCGGCGUGCUUAACACAUGCAAGUCGAACGGAAAGGCCCUGCUUGCAGGGUACUCGAGUGGCGAACGGGUGAGUAACACGUGGGUGAUCUGCCCUGCACUUCGGGAUAAGCCUGGGAAACUGGGUCUAAUACCGGAUAGGAGCCAUCUUUAGUGUGAUGGUUGGAAAGUUUUUUCGGUGUAGGAUGAGCUCGCGGCCUAUCAGCUUGUUGGUGGGGUAAUGGCCUACCAAGGCGGCGACGGGUAGCCGGCCUGGGAGGGUGGACGGCCACAUUGGGGCUGGGAUACGGCCCAGACUCCUACGGGAGGCAGCAGUGGGGAAUAUUGCACAAUGGGCGCGAGCCUGAUGCAGCGACGCCGCGUGGGGGAUGACGGCCUUCGGGUUGUAAACUCCUUUCGCUAGGGACGAAGCUUUUUGUGACGGUACCUAGAUAAGAAGCACCGGCUAACUACGUG
RNAcentral lists this ribosomal RNA (465 nucleotides) under uncultured bacterium. RNAcentral describes it as "partial 16S ribosomal RNA". It matches the Rfam family "Bacterial small subunit ribosomal RNA", at positions 28 to 507 of the family's 1533-position model. The record is from RNAcentral.